AACGCGAAAGAACCUUACCUGGGCUUGUCAUCUAUGGAACCUUCUGGAAACAGGAGGGUGCCUUCGGGAGCCAUAAGACAGGUGGUGCACGGUGGUCGUCAGCUCGUGUCGUGAGAUGUUGGGUUAAGUCCCGCAACGAGCGCAACCCUCGUGGUCUGUUGUUACAGGUCGAAAGAUGCUGAACCCUCAGNCCAGACUGCCGGNGACAAACCGGAGGAAGGUGGGGAUGACGUCAAAUCAUCACGCCCCUUAUGUCCAGGGCUACACACGUGUUACAAUGGGAAGCGGACAAUGGNCAGCUUGGCAGCGAUGUNUGGCAAAUCCUUAAACCGCCCCUCAGUUCGGAUCGUAGUCUGCAACUCGACUCCGNGAAGUCGGAAUCGCUAGUAAGCGCAGGGUCUUGUACACACCG
RNAcentral lists this ribosomal RNA (412 nucleotides) under uncultured bacterium. RNAcentral describes it as "bacterial SSU rRNA". It matches the Rfam family "Bacterial small subunit ribosomal RNA", at positions 958 to 1392 of the family's 1533-position model. The record is from RNAcentral.